Molecule: ribosomal RNA, 265 nt
Filed under: uncultured archaeon
Lineage: Archaea
Description: partial 16S ribosomal RNA
Rfam family: Archaeal small subunit ribosomal RNA
Source: RNAcentral
AGUCACUGACAUUAGAUACCCCUGUAGUCCAGGGUGUAAACGCUGCAGACUUGGUGUUGGAAAUCCUUCGAGGGUAUUCAGUGCCGGAGAGAAGUUGUUAAGUCUGCUACUUGGGGAGUACGUCCGCAAGGAUGAAACUUAAAGGAAUUGGCGGGGGAGCACCGCAACGGGAGGAGCGUGCGGUUUAAUUGGAUUCAACACCGGAAAACUCACCAGGGAAGACUGUUACAUGAAGGCCGAGAUGAAGACUCUGCUGGAUUUUCAG